This is a long non-coding RNA of Syngnathus typhle (broad-nosed pipefish), 397 nucleotides long. RefSeq lists it as uncharacterized. The transcript is spliced from 3 exons. The record is from RefSeq and is a predicted model, not a curated record. NCBI's taxonomy places the organism in Eukaryota, Metazoa, Chordata, Actinopteri, Syngnathiformes, Syngnathidae.
UUCUUUGACAGUGAGAAGGUUGCAGAGAUAUCCUAUGUCGCUGCAAAAGUUUGAAAAAAUUAUGAUUGAGAGCAUGGUGUAUUUAAUACAAAUAGUGUCAAACGUCCACAAUGUUGUGGAGACACAUAAAACAUGGAACUAUCCGAUUGCCUCAAAAGACGCCCUAAUCUUAAGGCAAUUUGAAAUGAACCAACCGCAAGUACGACGGUCCUUGAUUAGAACGCUGUCUAGGACUGGAGGAAAAACAUUUGAGAGCAUGCACCAACAAGAUAAUGGAAAGGUUUGAAUCCACAUACAAGCUUAAUAUAUAUAGCAUACAUAUAUUGGAACGGACAACAGUGGACUUCAACAAUGCGGCGGUGCAUUUUUUUUUUCUUUUUUCUCCCGUUGGGUUAGG